This is a long non-coding RNA of Esox lucius (northern pike), 379 nucleotides long. The record is from Ensembl. NCBI's taxonomy places the organism in Eukaryota, Metazoa, Chordata, Actinopteri, Esociformes, Esocidae.
CUGCAUUGUUAGUAACAGAUGCAGGCACAGCUGGAGAGUCCCUUACCUCUAUGAAAAUCCCACCACUAGGGGCAGCAACUGGCACAGAUGCUCAGGGUGGAUGGACAGGAUUGAUAGCUUGCAGGUGGGAGUGAUUGACUGUUGAUUGCUGAUCUAAGGAGGCUGAUCCAAGCCAGCAGGGUUUUGCCCACUUGAAGUUGUGUAAUUUGGUUUGGUAUGUCUAUAUUGUUUUUCUUUUCUGUGUUAUUAUGUUUUCACCACCAGAACAUCAGUUACCUGCAUGAGCUGCUCCACUACACUGAGCCAGAACACCCUGGACCUUGCACUACCCACAUGAAUGUUCACCAUACCAGGAGUAGCACAACAUGUGAUGGAACAG